GCACCACCGGCGGACGGCUCAGUAACACGUCGGUAACCUACCCUCGGGAGGGGGAUAACCCCGGGAAACUGGGGCUAAUUCCCCAUAGGCCUGAGGUACUGGAAGGUCCUCAGGCCGAAAGGGACUUAUGUCCGCCCGAGGAUGGGCCGGCGGCCGAUUAGGUAGUUGGUGGGGUAAUGGCCCACCAAGCCGAAGAUCGGUACGGGCUGUGAGAGCAGGAGCCCGGAGAUGGACACUGAGACACGGGUCCAGGCCCUACGGGGCGCAGCAGGCGCGAAACCUCCGCAAUGCGGGAAACCGCGACGGGGGGACCCCGAGUGCCGUGGCAACGCCACGGCUUUUCCGGAGUGUAAAAAGCUCCGGGAAUAAGGGCAGGGUAAGGCCGGUGGCUGCCGCCACGGGAAUUCAGGUGGCCCCAGUGGUGGUCGCUAUA
RNAcentral lists this ribosomal RNA (433 nucleotides) under uncultured archaeon. Its description in RNAcentral is "bacterial SSU rRNA". It matches the Rfam family "Archaeal small subunit ribosomal RNA", at positions 72 to 502 of the family's 1478-position model. The record is from RNAcentral.